Molecule: ribosomal RNA, 504 nt
Filed under: uncultured bacterium
Lineage: Bacteria
Description: bacterial SSU rRNA
Rfam family: Bacterial small subunit ribosomal RNA
Source: RNAcentral
UAUAAUAACUGGCGGCAGCUUACCAUGCNAGUCGAACGGUAAGAGGAGGAAGCUUGCUUUCUUGCUGACGAGUGGCGGACGGGUGAGUAAUGCUUGGGAAUCUGGCUUAUGGAGGGGGAUAACUACUGGAAACGGUAGCUAAUACCGCGUAAUAUCGAGAGAUUAAAGGGUGGGAUCGCAAGACCACCUGCCAUAAGAUGAGCCCAAGUGGGAUUAGGUAGUUGGUGGGGUAAAGGCCUACCAAGCUUGCGAUCUCUAGCUGGUCUGAGAGGAUGGCCAGCCACACUGGAACUGAGACACGGUCCAGACUCCUACGGGAGGCAGCAGUGGGGAAUAUUGCACAAUGGGGGAAACCCUGAUGCAGCCAUGCCGCGUGUCUGAAGAAGGCCUUCGGGUUGUAAAGUUCUUUCGGUGAUGAGGAAGGUGUUUUGUUUAAUAGACAAGGCAAUUGACGUUAGUCACAGAAGAAGCACCGGCUAACUCCGUGCCAGCAGCCGCGGUAAU